AACAGGAUUAGAUACCCUGGUAGUCCACGCCGUAAACGAUGAGUGCUAGGUGUUGGGGGGCUACGCCCCUCAGUGCCGAAGGUAACCCAUUAAGCACUCCGCCUGGGGAGUACGGCCGCAAGGCUGAAACUCAAAGGAAUUGACGGGGGCCCGCACAAGCGGUGGAGCAUGUGGUUUAAUUCGAAGCAACGCGAAGAACCUUACCAGGGCUUGACAUCCCGCUGACCCCUCCAGAGAUGGAGGUUUCCUUCGGGACAGCGGUGACAGGUGGUGCAUGGUUGUCGUCAGCUCGUGUCGUGAGAUGUUGGGUUCAGUCCCGCAACGAGCGCAACCCUUGUCGUUAGUUGCCAGCAUUUCGGAUGGGCACUCUAACGAGACAGCCGGUGAAAGCCGGAGGAAGGUGGGGAUGACGUCAAAUCAUCAUGCCCCUUAUGUCCUGGGCUACACACGUGCUACAACGGCUGGUACAAAGGGCAGCGAACCCGCGAGGGGGAGCCAAUCCCAAAAAGCCAGUCUCAGUUCGGAUCGCAGGCUGCAACUCGCCUGCGUGAAGCCGGAAUCGCUAGUAAUCGCGGAUCAGCAUGCCGCGGUGAAUAUGUUCCCGGGCCUUGUACACACCGCCCGUCACACCACGAGAGUUUGCAACACCCGAAGUCGGUGAGGCAACCUUUUAGGAGCCAGCCGCCGAAGGUGGGGCAGAUGAUUGGGGUGAAGUCGUAACAAGGUAACC
Molecule: ribosomal RNA, 730 nt
Filed under: uncultured bacterium
Lineage: Bacteria
Description: bacterial SSU rRNA
Rfam family: Bacterial small subunit ribosomal RNA
Source: RNAcentral